UGGAGGAGGGGAGGUGCUGGGGCCCAGGGCUGUGCGGGAGGGGAUGGGAUCCUGUGGGUACCUUGGCCCGUGUGCCAGGGUCGGGGGAACGUGACACUAGGUGUCGUUGUCAUGGUGUGUGUUGUCACUGUGUCUGUGUGUGACAUCAUCACCGUCUGUGUGAUGCCAUCGCCGCGUCUGUGUGACAUUAAUAUGUGUGACGUCGACAUGGCCACGUGACGCCAUCACCACGGUGAUAUGUGACGUCAGCGCCGUUGCUUGCGUGACGUCAUCUCCGCGGCCGUGU
Molecule: long non-coding RNA, 286 nt
Filed under: Homo sapiens (human)
Lineage: Eukaryota; Metazoa; Chordata; Mammalia; Primates; Hominidae
Description: HSALNT0256561
Source: RNAcentral